Molecule: long non-coding RNA, 1332 nt
Filed under: Junco hyemalis (dark-eyed junco)
Lineage: Eukaryota; Metazoa; Chordata; Aves; Passeriformes; Passerellidae
Description: lncRNA (ENSJHYG00000017013.1)
Source: RNAcentral
ACUUUUCAGAGCCAAUAAAGACAUUGUGCUGGUUUUGUUUUUUCUUUAUUUAGAUACUGACCGAGCUUUAGUACUGCUGGAAGAAUAUUGCAAAAAACUACGGAAGCCAGAAGAGCAACAGCUGAAAAAAGCCAUCAGAAAGGUGAUGGGCAUCUUUAAGAGCAGCUUGUUUCAGGCACUUCUAGAUAGCUUCAAAAAGAAAGCAACCAGACAUGGAACUACCUCCCACACUUCACUGCCAGCGGCUUUUGCAUGUGAUGUCCUUGGAAACCCAAAAGAUUAGCCAGUCUCAUCCACCUGGCCCAUGUCACAGGGAUCAAGGACAUUUCUCCAUCUGCAAACUUAAGCUCAUGCUCUCUGAAAGUGAAGAGAACAAAUUGAAAGUUAGAGUCUGAGACGACUAAUAGGGACAUCUCAUUCUUGAUGGGGGCAACAGUCCUCUCAUGUGGCAAUGCAUUAUCAGCAACAAAGAAGGUUCUUCUACUCUGGUAUUUUUCAGAGUUGAACUUCAGCUAUCAGCCUGCACCCUAGGACCAUUACUGACCACUACAACUGCAUCACUUGCAUCCUGGCACAUUUUGACAUCCAGGAGAACUCAAUACUUCUGCUAUAAAGAAUGUGGACAUGAAGAUCAGCUUGUAUAUUUGUGUCCCUGAAUGUUUUCCACUUGAGGAAAAACCCUGUGUGCUAUUGGAUAAGGUCCUGAAACAUAAUUUAAAAGCAUCAUCAGCAGGAAAAACCCAUCAUGAAGUGGGAGAAAGUCUUCUUGAACAUUAUUCAUUUGAAUGAUGGAGCUGUGUAGAAGCAGAUAUUGAGAAGAUGCAGCUGAUGUGUGACCGAGUACCAAAUGGACAUCCUUAGAGAAGACAGUUCUAACUUCCCUAAGUCAUCACUACUCUCUUAGUAGGCCAUAUUUUUUAGGGAAUCACUCAGCAUGUGUGUCAGCUUUCCCAGACCUAAAUUAUUUUAAGCUGCAUAUUUCUUUCGGAGUGAAAAUUUGAGAUCCUGCAGCCCAUGAAUUGCUGUGAAGACAUGGAAGCCAGAUUCCUCACUUUUAAGGGACUGGUGUGGUGGCAUACAGGAGUCUAAUGUUCCAUGCAAUUUAUGAUUUUCCACUUUAUUGAAGAAAUAAUUCUGUUUGUAGUUUUAUGAAUUUGCAGUCUUGAAUACCCAGUACUGCAGGUCACAAUUUUAUCUAUAGGCUGUUCCAUCUUAAGUGAAGAAACACUAUAUGUUGUUAAAACCCUGAUCUCCAAGAGUUUGUAAAAAGAAAAAUUCAUGAUGGUUGACUUAAAAUGUAAUUUUUAAAAGUUGAACAUUUAUUAUUAAAGC